UGGGGAAUAUUGCGCAAUGGGGGCAACCCUGACGCAGCGACGUCAUGUGAAGGAUGAAGGCUCUAGGGUUGUAAACUUCUGUCUAGAGGGAAGAAUCAAUCGACGGUACCUCUAAAGAAAGCACCGGCUAACUCCGUGCCAGCAGCCGCGGUAAUACGGAGGGUGCAAGCAUUAUUCGGAAUUACUAGGUGUAAAGGGCGUGUAGGCGGUUUAAUAAGUUAGAUGUGAAAUCUCACAGCUCAACUGUGAUCCUGCAUCUAAAACUGUUAGACUUGAGUAUGAAAGGGGAAAAUGGAAUUUCUAGUGUAGCGGUGGAAUGUGUAGAUACUAGAAGGAACACCGAUGGCGAAAGCGAUUUUCUGGUUCAAUACUGACGCUAAGACGCGAAAGCUAGGGGAGCAAACAGG
This 407-nucleotide ribosomal RNA is filed under the name uncultured bacterium. RNAcentral's name for it is "bacterial SSU rRNA". It matches the Rfam family "Bacterial small subunit ribosomal RNA", at positions 355 to 776 of the family's 1533-position model. The record is from RNAcentral.